This 325-nucleotide long non-coding RNA is filed under the name Gossypium barbadense (sea-island cotton). RNAcentral describes it as "long non-coding RNA (GBAR_LNC020749)". Lineage: Eukaryota; Viridiplantae; Streptophyta; Magnoliopsida; Malvales; Malvaceae. The record is from RNAcentral.
GAUUCCAAAGUUUUCUCUAAGAAUCUUUGAAGUCGCUCUGAAUGUCACUAGCAGUGGAAUCAACAAUACCUGCUUGUAAUAGUUUAUAGGCACUCUCACCGAGAACUCCCUUAAUGACUCACCUCUCCACACUUGAAAAUCAUCGUAGUCCUUCUUCACCAAAGGAAUACAUAGGAUUCUAGCCACAUUAUCUCCUGAGAAAGUAUUUUCAAUAACCUUUCUUUUCCACUCUCUAGAAUUAUUAUCUAUUAAGUCCGAAACCAAAGAUAUACCAGGGUUACUAAUACUAUUGCUUAACUUGUAGCUAGUUGCCCCAGGUAACUAU